CCUACGGGUGGCUGCAGUGGGGAAUAUUGCACAAUGGGCGCAAGCCUGAUGCAGCCAUGCCGCGUGUGUGAAGAAGGCCUUCGGGUUGUAAAGCACUUUCAGCGGGGAGGAAGGCGGUGAGGUUAAUAACCUCAUCGAUUGACGUUACCCGCAGAAGAAGCACCGGCUAACUCCGUGCCAGCAGCCGCGGUAAUACGGAGGGUGCAAGCGUUAAUCGGAAUUACUGGGCGUAAAGCGCACGCAGGCGGUCUGUCAAGUCGGAUGUGAAAUCCCCGGGCUCAACCUGGGAACUGCAUUCGAAACUGGCAAGCUAGAGUCUUGUAGAGGGGGGUAGAAUUCCAGGUGUAGCGGUGAAAUGCGUAGAGAUCUGGAGGAAUACCGGUGGCGAAGGCGGCCCCCUGGACAAAGACUGACGCUCAGGUGCGAAAGCGUGGGGAGCAAACAGGAUUAGAUACCCGAGUAGUC
Molecule: ribosomal RNA, 465 nt
Filed under: uncultured Klebsiella sp.
Lineage: Bacteria; Pseudomonadati; Pseudomonadota; Gammaproteobacteria; Enterobacterales; Enterobacteriaceae
Description: bacterial SSU rRNA
Rfam family: Bacterial small subunit ribosomal RNA
Source: RNAcentral